Molecule: ribosomal RNA, 1035 nt
Filed under: uncultured fungus
Lineage: Eukaryota; Fungi
Description: eukaryotic LSU rRNA
Rfam family: Eukaryotic large subunit ribosomal RNA (bases 461-1035)
Source: RNAcentral
GGAUCAUUAUAGAGUUAUACAACUCCUAACCCUUUGUGAAUUUACCAUUGUUGCCUCGGUAGGGGCUGCACCAUGUAGCCACCGCCGGUGGACUUUUUUAAAACUAUUGUUAUUUAAUGGAAAUCUGAGAGUCUUAUCAAAUAAGUCAAAACUUUCAACAACGGAUCUCUUGGUUCUGGCAUCGAUGAAGAACGCAGCGAAAUGCGAUAAGUAAUGUGAAUUGCAGAAUUCAGUGAAUCAUCGAAUCUUUGAACGCACAUUGCGCCCAUUAGUAUUCUAGUGGGCAUGCCUGUUCGAGCGUCAUUUCAACCCUUAAGCCUCGCUUAGUGUUGGGACCCUACUUACCCUGUAGCUCCCGAAAUUUAUUGGCGGAGCUGUAGUAGUCUCUGAGCGCAGUAGUUUACAUCUCGCUUCUGUGGCUAUUGCAGCCCUCGCCGUAAAACUCAUUUUUUCAUGUGGUUGACCUCGGAUCAGGUAGGAAUACCCGCUGAACUUAAGCAUAUCAAUAAGCGGAGGAAAAGAAACCAACAGGGAUUGCCCUAGUAACGGCGAGUGAAGCGGCAGCAGCUCAAAUUUGAAAUCUGGCCUAGCCCGAAUUGUAAUUUGUAGAGGAUGCUUUUGGUGCGGCGCCUUCCGAGUUCCCUGGAACGGGACGCCUUAGAGGGUGAGAGCCCCGUACGGUUGGACGCCUAGCCUCUGUAAAGCUCCUUCGACGAGUCGAGUAGUUUGGGAAUGCUGCUCAAAAUGGGAGGUAAAUUUCUUCUAAAGCUAAAUACCGGCCAGAGACCGAUAGCGCACAAGUAGAGUGAUCGAAAGAUGAAAAGCACUUUGAAAAGAGGGUUAAAUAGCACGUGAAAUUGUUGAAAGGGAAGCGUUUAUGACCAGACUUUUUCUAAGCGGAUCAUCCGGUGUUUUCACCGGUGCACUUCGUUUAGUUGAGGCCAGCAUCGGUUUCUGUAGGGGGACAAAAGCUUAGGGAACGUGGCUCUUCGGAGUGUUAUACGCCCUUUGUAAUACCUUUACGGAGACCGAGGU